UACGUAGGGGGCAAGCGUUGUCCGGAAUCAUUGGGCGUAAAGGGCGUGUAGGCGGCUUGGCAAGUCUGGUGUGAAAUCUUGCGGCUCAACCGCAAGCGGUCACUGGAAACUGCCUCGCUAGAGUCCGGAAGAGGAGAGCGGAAUUCCUGGUGUAGCGGUGGAAUGCGUAGAGAUCGGGAAGAACAUCAGUGGCGAAGGCGGCCUGCUGGGCUGUUGCUGACGCUGAGGCGCGACAGCGUGGGGAGCAAACAGG
Molecule: ribosomal RNA, 253 nt
Filed under: uncultured bacterium
Lineage: Bacteria
Description: partial 16S ribosomal RNA
Rfam family: Bacterial small subunit ribosomal RNA
Source: RNAcentral